Scomber japonicus (chub mackerel) is the source of this 419-nucleotide long non-coding RNA. RefSeq lists it as uncharacterized. The record is from RefSeq and is a predicted model, not a curated record. NCBI's taxonomy places the organism in Eukaryota, Metazoa, Chordata, Actinopteri, Scombriformes, Scombridae. The transcript has 2 exons.
ACAUUCACCUGCACACCCAGGAGGUUUGAAAUGUUUGUCUGCACUUUCAGUCAGGCCCUCUCACCUCACACACGACCGCAACUGUUGGUUGACCGAAGGACGCAACUGGUAGCAACUGGUAGUAACUGAUUAUCAACCUACUCCACCCUACCCUGAUCUACUCCACCCUACCCUGAUCUACUCCACCCUACCCUGAUCUGCUCCACCCUACCCUGAUCUACUCCACCCUACCCUGAUCUACUCCACCCUACCCUGAUCUACUCCACCCUACCCUGAUCUACUCCACCCUACCCUGAUCUACUCCACCCUACCCUGAUCUACUCCACCCUACCCUGAUCCAUCCAUUAUCUGUUCUGACCUGUUAACCAACAAAACCAAACCCACCUUCAAGGAAAAUAAAAAUAAAACUAUGGAAUGGA